CCUUAGUUUCCCUCGUCUGUCUGAAAAAGUUGCUAUUGGUCGUUCCUGGGUUGCUCAGGCAACCUGUACAUCCCCAUACCCCAGACCUACUUCUUACUUGUGCAAUUUCUUGUAGAACAAACUGAAAUGAACACAUCUCAAAGGAAAUGAAAUAUUAACAGAAAAAAUAGAUCUGUGCCAGAUGAUAACAUAUGCCACAGAACAGGAACUGCUUGGAAUCACAAGAGAAAAUGCUUGGCAAAACCCGACAGCCUCAGUAGAUUUCUGAAUGGUGAUUUUUUUCUUUUGUUAACCUAAACUUAAAAAUUGCAAGCUGC
Chroicocephalus ridibundus (black-headed gull) is the source of this 317-nucleotide long non-coding RNA. RefSeq lists it as uncharacterized. The record is from RefSeq and is a predicted model, not a curated record. Lineage: Eukaryota; Metazoa; Chordata; Aves; Charadriiformes; Laridae. The transcript is spliced from 3 exons.